Long non-coding RNA from Oreochromis aureus, 1149 nucleotides. NCBI's taxonomy places the organism in Eukaryota, Metazoa, Chordata, Actinopteri, Cichliformes, Cichlidae. The record is from Ensembl.
CAGCCUUCUGGAGCACUUCACCAAAGAACAUCAGGAGAAGGAAAAAUGGCAGUCCGAGGGAACAGCAGAGAAGUGUGUAACCACGGUAAUUUCUGACCCCACUUCCGCCAGUCCCUUUAUUGUGGCGGGAAUGAACCCCGUAUAAGUUCCGGGUCAAUCGGCUGCAUGUUCCCUGCUCCUCUGGCUGCUGUUGUCCCUGUGGUUGGCGUUCUUGUCAGAUAUUGACAACUUUUACACUACAUACUAGUUGACAGCGUGCAAUAACCCGGCCGAUUCAUUCAUCUUUACACCACCUCACAAUCGACUCAACGGUCAGGUUUUUUUUCCCCGCGAUCAUCUCUGAUCAGCGCGGGAUGGCGAGCCACCCAACUACCGCUGCACUGCGGUAGGACUUGUGAUGCUAUGGAUUGAAUCGAACUGUUUCCCCAUGACCUAUCACAGGCUCCAUAGUCGAAACUACUUCUGGUUGCUCAUUUUCUAUGAAGCUGCAGUCAGGCGCCCUGGUCCUUCACCGUGUUACAAGUGGAUGGAAAUUCUUCAGGCAGCUGACCUCCCCAAUAAUGCAGGCUGUUGUAUCCUUUGUACUCAGCAUCCCAUCUUCCACUGGGUUUGAGGAGAAGAAUAAGUGGACUGAUGUGCGGAACAAAUGUUCUACUGAGUUAAUUAGAAGUGAGCUCAUUGUCAGUCUAAAUUAUGAUAUGUCUUGCUCAGAGUUUUACUCUGCAGUACUGAAAGACAAACAACUCCUAACUGCAGCAAGAGCUCAAAAAAAUACAAAUGGAAAAAGUAGUCUCUUUCCACAUAAUGUAGCAUUGAGCUUUUGAGUUCAUGAGUUUGUUGGGUUUUUUUUACUUCAACUUUCAGCUACAGUCAAGGCCUUUGAGGCACAAAUAUUGUGUUUACAGGUGUUCCACAGACUUUGUUUGCACUUUUCUAAUUGCACUAAAUGUGCGCUGUUACAAGAAUGUUUUUCUUUCUAUUGUUUUCUAUUAAUUUAUAUAAUUUUAGGUUAAGCAGGACAGAGUUCUUUGUGUUAAUUUUGUCAUUUUGCACAAAAAGUGAAGCGUACCAGUCCUUCGUUUAGGAAAGAGACCUAUUUUAUUGUGUUAAUGUUGUCAUUUUGCGUUAAAAAUAAAUGGCUAAAUGAUC